Molecule: ribosomal RNA, 326 nt
Filed under: uncultured eukaryote
Lineage: Eukaryota
Description: partial 18S ribosomal RNA
Rfam family: Eukaryotic small subunit ribosomal RNA
Source: RNAcentral
CCCCUAGAUGUUCUGGGCCGCACGCGCGCUACACUGAACAGUUCAACAAGUCAUAACCUUGGCCGAAAGGUCUGGGUAAUCUCCAAAUUUCGUCGUGAUGGGGAUAGAUUAUUGCAAUUAUUAAUCUUCAACGAGGAAUGCCUAGUAAGCGCAAGUCAUCAGCUUGCGUUGAUUACGUCCCUGCCCUUUGUACACACCGCCCGUCGCUCCUACCGAUUGAAUGGUCCGGUGAAGCGUUCGGACCGUGGCCUUUGGACGGUUCGCCGUCUGUUGGCUGCGGGAAGUUCGUUAAACCUUAUCAUUUAGAGGAAGGAGAAGUCGUAACA